Long non-coding RNA from Xiphophorus hellerii (green swordtail), 281 nucleotides. RefSeq lists it as uncharacterized. The record is from RefSeq and is a predicted model, not a curated record. Lineage: Eukaryota; Metazoa; Chordata; Actinopteri; Cyprinodontiformes; Poeciliidae. The transcript is spliced from 4 exons.
AAACAGAGCAGCUCUUCAUUUCCUGUAAUGUGGGCCGUCGGACCGGUUUGUGGAAUCGUCCUCGUUGUUCUCCUGCUGCUUCUGAUUCGCUUCAUAAGGUUCAAAGGUACAUCUGACUUGUAUGACUCAAUGAGACCCUCUGAAGAUCCUGUAAACGAUGCAAACGACGACCAACACGUCACCUACUCUCUCCUUGAAUUUAAAAACUCCGGAAACAAAAGGGGCCAUCGUGAACCAGAGGAGGGCACCGUUUAUUCUGAUGUGAGAGCAGGAGCUGCAGG